GUAACAAGGUUUCCGUAGGUGAACCUGCGGAAGGAUCAUUACCGAGUGAGGGCCCUCUGGGUCCAACCUCCCACCCGUGUCUAUUGUACCUUGUUGCUUCGGCGGGCCCGCCGUUUCUACGGCCGCCGGGGAGGCCUCGCGCCCCCGGGCCCGCGCCCGCCGAAGACCACAACAUGAACGCUGUUCUGAAAGUAUGCAGUCUGAGUCGAUUAUCAUAAUCAGUUAAAACUUUCAACAACGGAUCUCUUGGUUCCGGCAUCGAUGAAGAACGCAGCGAAAUGCGAUAAGUAAUGUGAAUUGCAGAAUUCAGUGAAUCAUCGAGUCUUUGAACGCACAUUGCGCCCCCUGGUAUUCCGGGGGGCAUGCCUGUCCGAGCGUCAUUGCUGCCCUCAAGCACGGCUUGUGUGUUGGGCCGCCGUCCCCGGUUUCUCCCCGGGGACGGGCCCGAAAGGCAGCGGCGGCACCGCGUCCGGUCCUCGAGCGUAUGGGGCUUCGUCACCCGCUCUGUAGGCCCGGCCGGCGCCAGCCGACGACCAACCCAACUUUUCUAAGGUUGACCUCGGAUCAGGUAGGGAUACCCGCUGAACUUAAGCAUAUCAAUAA
Molecule: unclassified non-coding RNA, 603 nt
Filed under: Aspergillus thermomutatus
Lineage: Eukaryota; Fungi; Ascomycota; Eurotiomycetes; Eurotiales; Aspergillaceae
Description: sequence contains 18S rRNA gene, ITS1, 5.8S rRNA gene, ITS2, 28S rRNA gene
Rfam family: 5.8S ribosomal RNA (bases 227-380)
Source: RNAcentral